ACCCCCCAGCAAUGAGCGAAGAGACACCUUGGUGGUGGUAGCGUUCUUAUAUCAGCUAGGGACAGAACAGGUGGCAGGCCUUUGUUCAUCUUAGCUUGAUGCCUGGCUUGGUGGCCAAAGCUGUCUUAUGUCUGAGACGCAUAA
Small nucleolar RNA from Meriones unguiculatus (Mongolian gerbil), 144 nucleotides. RefSeq annotates it as small nucleolar RNA SNORA48. The record is from RefSeq and is a predicted model, not a curated record. Lineage: Eukaryota; Metazoa; Chordata; Mammalia; Rodentia; Muridae. The transcript has a single exon.